AAUAUUGCGCAAUGGGCGGAAGCCUGACGCAGCGACGCCGCGUGGGGGAUGAAGGCCUUCGGGUUGUAAACCUCUUUUACCACUCACGAAGGCCCCUGGUUUUCUGGGGGUUGACGGUAGGUGUUGAAUAAGGACCGGCUAACUACGUGCCAGCAGCCGCGGUAAUACGUAGGGUCCGAGCGUUGUCCGGAAUUAUUGGGCGUAAAGAGCCCGUAGGCGGCCUGUAGCGUCUGCUGUGAAAGUCCGGGGCUUAACUCCGGGUGUGCAGUGGAUACGGGCAGGCUUGAGGUAGGCAGGGGAGACUGGAAUUCCUGGUGUAGCGGUGAAAUGCGCAGAUAUCAGGAGGAACACCGGUGGCGAAGGAGGGUCUCUGGGCCUUACCUGACGCUGAGGAGCGAAAGCGUGGGGAGCGAACA
Molecule: ribosomal RNA, 416 nt
Filed under: uncultured bacterium
Lineage: Bacteria
Description: partial 16S ribosomal RNA
Rfam family: Bacterial small subunit ribosomal RNA
Source: RNAcentral